AAGGGAAUCUUCCACAAUGGACGAAAGUCUGAUGGAGCAACGCCGCGUGAGUGAAGAAGGGUUUCGGCUCGUAAAACUCUGUUGUUAAAGAAGAACAUAUCUGAGAGUAACUGUUCAGGUAUUGACGGUAUUUAACCAGAAAGCCACGGCUAACUACGUGCCAG
Molecule: ribosomal RNA, 164 nt
Filed under: uncultured bacterium
Lineage: Bacteria
Description: partial 16S rRNA
Rfam family: Bacterial small subunit ribosomal RNA
Source: RNAcentral